UAAUCGGCUUUUUUCAAAGCCACCAUAAUUAUAAUAAAAGAUCUCU
Amphimedon queenslandica is the source of this 46-nucleotide non-coding RNA. Lineage: Eukaryota; Metazoa; Porifera; Demospongiae; Haplosclerida; Niphatidae. The record is from Rfam.